GCCCAGGUAGUAUAUGUAGUGCGGCCGUUUUUCGUGCGGCAAGUGAUUUUGGUUAAUCCCUGGGUU
RNAcentral lists this transfer RNA (66 nucleotides) under Crassadoma gigantea. RNAcentral describes it as "tRNA-Glu". Lineage: Eukaryota; Metazoa; Mollusca; Bivalvia; Pectinida; Pectinidae. The record is from RNAcentral.